Molecule: transfer RNA, 71 nt
Filed under: Myotis lucifugus (little brown bat)
Lineage: Eukaryota; Metazoa; Chordata; Mammalia; Chiroptera; Vespertilionidae
Rfam family: tRNA
About the family: Transfer RNA (tRNA) molecules are approximately 80 nucleotides in length. Their secondary structure includes four short double-helical elements and three loops (D, anti-codon, and T loops).
Source: Rfam by way of RNAcentral
GGGGGAAUAGCUCAGUGGAAGAGCACGUGCCUGGCAUGUAUGAGACCCGGGUUCAACUUCCGGCAUCUGCA